This 1364-nucleotide ribosomal RNA is filed under the name Neisseria gonorrhoeae. RNAcentral describes it as "bacterial SSU rRNA". It matches the Rfam family "Bacterial small subunit ribosomal RNA", at positions 89 to 1451 of the family's 1533-position model. The record is from RNAcentral. Lineage: Bacteria; Pseudomonadati; Pseudomonadota; Betaproteobacteria; Neisseriales; Neisseriaceae.
UGGCGAGUGGCGAACGGGUGAGUAACAUAUCGGAACGUACCGGGUAGCGGGGGAUAACUGAUCGAAAGAUCAGCUAAUACCGCAUACGUCUUGAGAGGGAAAGCAGGGGACCUUCGGGCCUUGCGCUAUCCGAGCGGCCGAUAUCUGAUUAGCUGGUUGGCGGGGUAAAGGCCCACCAAGGCGACGAUCAGUAGCGGGUCUGAGAGGAUGAUCCGCCACACUGGGACUGAGACACGGCCCAGACUCCUACGGGAGGCAGCAGUGGGGAAUUUUGGACAAUGGGCGCAAGCCUGAUCCAGCCAUGCCGCGUGUCUGAAGAAGGCCUUCGGGUUGUAAAGGACUUUUGUCAGGGAAGAAAAGGCCGUUGCCAAUAUCGGCGGCCGAUGACGGUACCUGAAGAAUAAGCACCGGCUAACUACGUGCCAGCAGCCGCGGUAAUACGUAGGGUGCGAGCGUUAAUCGGAAUUACUGGGCGUAAAGCGGGCGCAGACGGUUACUUAAGCAGGAUGUGAAAUCCCCGGGCUCAACCCGGGAACUGCGUUCUGAACUGGGUGACUCGAGUGUGUCAGAGGGAGGUGGAAUUCCACGUGUAGCAGUGAAAUGCGUAGAGAUGUGGAGGAAUACCGAUGGCGAAGGCAGCCUCCUGGGAUAACACUGACGUUCAUGUCCGAAAGCGUGGGUAGCAAACAGGAUUAGAUACCCUGGUAGUCCACGCCCUAAACGAUGUCAAUUAGCUGUUGGGCAACUUGAUUGCUUGGUAGCGUAGCUAACGCGUGAAAUUGACCGCCUGGGGAGUACGGUCGCAAGAUUAAAACUCAAAGGAAUUGACGGGGACCCGCACAAGCGGUGGAUGAUGUGGAUUAAUUCGAUGCAACGCGAAGAACCUUACCUGGUUUUGACAUGUGCGGAAUCCUCCGGAGACGGAGGAGUGCCUUCGGGAGCCGUAACACAGGUGCUGCAUGGCUGUCGUCAGCUCGUGUCGUGAGAUGUUGGGUUAAGUCCCGCAACGAGCGCAACCCUUGUCAUUAGUUGCCAUCAUUCGGUUGGGCACUCUAAUGAGACUGCCGGUGACAAGCCGGAGGAAGGUGGGGAUGACGUCAAGUCCUCAUGGCCCUUAUGACCAGGGCUUCACACGUCAUACAAUGGUCGGUACAGAGGGUAGCCAAGCCGCGAGGCGGAGCCAAUCUCACAAAACCGAUCGUAGUCCGGAUUGCACUCUGCAACUCGAGUGCAUGAAGUCGGAAUCGCUAGUAAUCGCAGGUCAGCAUACUGCGGUGAAUACGUUCCCGGGUCUUGUACACACCGCCCGUCACACCAUGGGAGUGGGGGAUACCAGAAGUAGGUAGGGUAACCGCAAGGAGUCC